CUGAGCUCGAGGCCAGCCUGGUCUACAUAGCGAGGUCCAGACCUGCAGUAACUGUUCCGCCCCCAGGUGAAGUCUUCCUUGUUCCGCUUUGAGGUACAGCGGGCUUCCAGCCCCACGGGAAUUGUGAUGUAUGCUAGCUCCUCCAGCUGUGCCGGACGGUCCACUGUGACCCGGGUCUCUGUGCACCGUUGGGUCCCUGCCUUUGUGCAGUAUGUAGCCAGGUAGGGACACAGACUUCAAGGUUCUCGCCAAGAAGCCCUGGUUGGUGUGGAGAACUCACUGUAUAAACCAUUUUGGCCUCAAACUAACAGAGAUCCCCCUGCCUCUGCCUCCUGAGUGCUGGGAUUAAAGAUGUGCACUACCAUGCCCAACAGUUGUAAUCUUUGGCAGUGGAAAUGUCCAUUUUUGUCUUCUUAUGAUUAUCUUCAUGUAAUUUUUUGCA
Molecule: long non-coding RNA, 442 nt
Organism: Nannospalax galili (Upper Galilee mountains blind mole rat)
Lineage: Eukaryota; Metazoa; Chordata; Mammalia; Rodentia; Spalacidae
Exons: 3
Source: RefSeq, a predicted model, not a curated record